UAAGGAAUAUUGGUCAAUGGACGCAAGUCUGAACCAGCCAUGCCGCGUGAAGGAUGAAGGUCCUCUGGAUUGUAAACUUCCUUUAUCUGGGACGAAAACGGGAUUUUUAUCUCAAUUGACGGUACCAGAGGAAUAAGCACCGGCUAACUCCGUGCCAGCAGCCGCGGUAAUACGGAGGGUGCGAGCGUUAUCCGGAUUUACUGGGUUUAAAGGGUGCGUAGGUGGGCUUAUAAGUCAGUGGUGAAAUCUCCGAGCUUAACUUGGAAACUGCCGUUGAUACUAUAGGUCUUGAAUUAUCUGGAGGUAAGCGGAAUAUGUCAUGUAGCGGUGAAAUGCUUAGAUAUGACAUAGAACACCAAUUGCGAAGGCAGCUUACUACAUAUAAAUUGACGCUGAGGCACGAAAGCGUGGGGAUCAAACA
RNAcentral lists this ribosomal RNA (421 nucleotides) under uncultured bacterium. Its description in RNAcentral is "bacterial SSU rRNA". It matches the Rfam family "Bacterial small subunit ribosomal RNA", at positions 355 to 774 of the family's 1533-position model. The record is from RNAcentral.